RNAcentral lists this non-coding RNA (26 nucleotides) under Homo sapiens (human). The record is from RNAcentral. Lineage: Eukaryota; Metazoa; Chordata; Mammalia; Primates; Hominidae.
UGGUUGCCCCUUAUCUGGAUGAAGGA